RNAcentral lists this ribosomal RNA (408 nucleotides) under uncultured bacterium. RNAcentral describes it as "bacterial SSU rRNA". It matches the Rfam family "Bacterial small subunit ribosomal RNA", at positions 354 to 777 of the family's 1533-position model. The record is from RNAcentral.
GUGGGGGAUAUUGCACAAUGGAGGAAACUCUGAUGCAGCGACGCCGCGUGAGGGAAGAAGGUCUUCGGAUUGUAAACCUCUGUCUUCGGGGACGAAAGAAAUGACGGUACUCGAGGAGGAAGCCACGGCUAACUACGUGCCAGCAGCCGCGGUAAAACGUAGGUGGCAAGCGUUGUCCGGAAUUACUGGGUGUAAAGGGAGCGCAGGCGGAACUGCAAGUUGGAUGUCAAAUCUACGGGCUCAACCCGUAUACGCAUUCAAAACUGCGGUUCUUGAGUAGUGCAGAGGUAGGCGGAAUUCCCGGUGUAGCGGUGGAAUGCGUAGAUAUCGGGAGGAACACCAGUGGCGAAGGCGGCCUACUGGGCACCAACUGACGCUGAGGCUCGAAAGCAUGGGUAGCAAACAGGA